Molecule: ribosomal RNA, 467 nt
Filed under: uncultured bacterium
Lineage: Bacteria
Description: partial 16S ribosomal RNA
Rfam family: Bacterial small subunit ribosomal RNA
Source: RNAcentral
GACGAACGCUGGCGGCGUGCUUAACACAUGCAAGUCGAACGGAAAGGCCCUGCUUUUGUGGGGUGCUCGAGUGGCGAACGGGUGAGUAACACGUGAGUAACCUGCCCUUGACUUUGGGAUAACUUCAGGAAACUGGGGCUAAUACCGGAUAGGAGCUCCUGCUGCAUGGUGGGGGUUGGAAAGUUUCGGCGGUUGGGGAUGGACUCGCGGCUUAUCAGCUUGUUGGUGGGGUAGUGGCUUACCAAGGCUUUGACGGGUAGCCGGCCUGAGGGGGUGACCGGCCAAUUUGGAAAUGGGAUACGGCCCAAACUCCUACGGGGGGCAGCAGGGGGGAAUAUUGCACAAGGGGGGGAAGCCUGAUGCAGAAACGCCGCGGGGGGGAUGACGGCCUUCGGGUUGUAAACCGUUUUCGCCUGUGACGAAGCGGGAGGGGCGGUAAUGGGUAAAGAAGCACCGGCUAACUACGU